AACGAACGCUGGCGGCAUGCCUAACGCAUGCAAGUCGAACGAGACCUUCGGGUCUAGUGGCGCACGGGUGCGUAACGCGUGGGAACCUGCCCUUAGGUUCGGAAUAACUCCCCGAAAGGGGUGCUAAUACCGGAUAAUGUCUUCGGACCAAAGAUUUAUCGCCUUUGGAUGGGCCCGCGUUGGAUUAGCUAGUUGGUAGGGUAAAAGCCUACCAAGGCGACGAUCCAUAGCUGGUCUGAGAGGAUGAACAGCCACACUGGGACUGAGACACGGCCCAGACUCCUACGGGAGGCAGCAGUGGGGAAUAUUGGACAAUGGGCGAAAGCCUGAUCCAGCAAUGCCGCGUGAGUGAUGAAGGCCUUAGGGUUGUAAAGCUCUUUUACCCGGGAUGAUAAUGACAGUACCGGGAGAAUAAGCUCCGGCUAACUCCGUG
Molecule: ribosomal RNA, 433 nt
Filed under: uncultured bacterium
Lineage: Bacteria
Description: partial 16S ribosomal RNA
Rfam family: Bacterial small subunit ribosomal RNA
Source: RNAcentral